GAUGAACGCUGGCGGCGUGCCUAAUACAUGCAAGUCGAGCGAACGGACGAGAAGCUUGCUUCUCUGAUGUUAGCGGCGGACGGGUGAGUAACACGUGGAUAACCUACCUAUAAGACUGGGAUAACUUCGGGAAACCGGAGCUAAUACCGGAUAAUAUUUUGAACCGCAUGGUUCAAAAGUGAAAGAAGGUCUUGCUGUCACUUAUAGAUGGAUCCGCGCUGCAUUAGCUAGUUGGUAAGGUAACGGCUUACCAAGGCAACGAUGCAUAGCCGACCUGAGAGGGUGAUCGGCCACACUGGAACUGAGACACGGUCCAGACUCCUACGGGAGGCAGCAGUAGGGAAUCUUCCGCAAUGGGCGAAUGCCUGACGGAGCAACGCCGCGUGAGUGAUGAAGGUCUUCGGGUCGUAAAGCUCUGUUAUUAGGGAAGAACAUAUGUGUAAGUAACUGUGCACAUGUUGACGGUACCUAAACAGAAAGCCACGGCUAACUACGUG
This 497-nucleotide ribosomal RNA is filed under the name uncultured bacterium. Its description in RNAcentral is "partial 16S ribosomal RNA". It matches the Rfam family "Bacterial small subunit ribosomal RNA", at positions 28 to 507 of the family's 1533-position model. The record is from RNAcentral.